Molecule: ribosomal RNA, 464 nt
Filed under: uncultured bacterium
Lineage: Bacteria
Description: partial 16S ribosomal RNA
Rfam family: Bacterial small subunit ribosomal RNA
Source: RNAcentral
CUACGGGGGGCAGCAGUGGGGAAUAUUGCACAAUGGGCGCAAGCCUGAUGCAGCCAUGCCGCGUGUAUGAAGAAGGCCUUCGGGUUGUAAAGUACUUUCAGCGGGGAGGAAGGGAGUAAAGUUAAUACCUUUGCUCAUUGACGUUACCCGCAGAAGAAGCACCGGCUAACUCCGUGCCAGCAGCCGCGGUAAUACGGAGGGUGCAAGCGUUAAUCGGAAUUACUGGGCGUAAAGCGCACGCAGGCGGUUUGUUAAGUCAGAUGUGAAAUCCCCGGGCUCAACCUGGGAACUGCAUCUGAUACUGGCAAGCUUGAGUCUCGUAGAGGGGGGUAGAAUUCCAGGUGUAGCGGUGAAAUGCGUAGAGAUCUGGAGGAAUACCGGUGGCGAAGGCGGCCCCCUGGACGAAGACUGACGCUCAGGUGCGAAAGCGUGGGGAGCAAACAGGAUUAGAUACCCUCGUAGUC